This 21-nucleotide non-coding RNA is filed under the name Caenorhabditis elegans. The record is from RNAcentral. Lineage: Eukaryota; Metazoa; Nematoda; Chromadorea; Rhabditida; Rhabditidae.
UCUUUCAGUGGGAAUAAUUUU